CUACGGGAGGCAGCAGUGGGGAAUCUUAGACAAUGGGCGAAAGCCUGAUCUAGCCAUGCCGCGUGAGUGAUGAAGGUCUUAGGAUCGUAAAGCUCUUUCGCCAGGGAUGAUAAUGACAGUACCUGGUAAAGAAACCCCGGCUAACUCCGUGCCAGCAGCCGCGGUAAUACGGAGGGGGUUAGCGUUGUUCGGAAUUACUGGGCGUAAAGCGCGCGUAGGCGGAUCAGCAAGUUGGGGGUGAAAUCCCGGGGCUCAACCCCGGAACUGCCUCCAAAACUGCUGGUCUAGAGUUCGAGAGAGGUGAGUGGAACUCCGAGUGUAGAGGUGAAAUUCGUAGAUAUUCGGAAGAACACCAGUGGCGAAGGCGGCUCACUGGCUCGAUACUGACGCUGAGGUGCGAAAGUGUGGGGAGCAAACAGGAUUAGAUACCCUAGUAGUCC
This 440-nucleotide ribosomal RNA is filed under the name uncultured bacterium. Its description in RNAcentral is "bacterial SSU rRNA". It matches the Rfam family "Bacterial small subunit ribosomal RNA", at positions 339 to 796 of the family's 1533-position model. The record is from RNAcentral.